This 45-nucleotide non-coding RNA is filed under the name Schistosoma margrebowiei. The record is from RNAcentral. Lineage: Eukaryota; Metazoa; Platyhelminthes; Trematoda; Strigeidida; Schistosomatidae.
AUCCGGCUGACGAGUCCCAAACAGGACGAAACGCUCGUCCUGGAU